AAGCAAGGAGAACAUCCUCUUCCUUGACAUUUAGGCUACAGUUUCUUUCCUUCCAGACACGGGACAGGUGUGAAAAUCCACAGACAACUUUCCUACCAGAUCCCUAACACGAAUAAAUCCCCUGGACAUGGCUUUGCCACUCACGCAGGGUGAGAUUUGUGCGCAAGUUUGUGAACAACUAUUUUCAGGAUGAAGCAGAUGAAGACUAAAUUAGAGCAAACGGUUCCGAUGAGCACCUUGAGAAUUACCAAGUGCAACCACUUUCACUGAGCCACACACGAUGCGUUGGCUUCACAAAAACAAGGUGGCCCAACACAAUUCCUCUUCAUUUAGUGCAGCCCAGACAAGUCAAAAGGAUGGACACUCGUGGUACAGACGGAACAGGGUAGACUAACAACUGACUUGGCGCAGGCCUUGGAGAGGGACAGAAUGGGCCCCGUCUGGAGGUGUCUACACUGGGCCUCCCCGACCCCUGGCAGGAAGGUACCUGGGAUUCUAACCCCGGAUCUCAGCCAACACCCAGGUUUCCUAGUUCAAUGGGAAGGGGAGGUGACCCAAGAAGUGUCUCUGUAAACACUGGGGAGACCCAGGGAGGAGGCUUGGGAAACAGAUUCUCGCAAACAGAGGUUCUUUAAGGGCCCUUGGUGGGGUGUUGGGAGGGCAUCCCAAAGGGAGGCCAGUUCAGAAUUGAGCAAGAAGUGGUCAGUGCUGUCAGGUCGGGGCAGCUGCAGCUGGCCUCUGGGGUGCAGAAGGGCAACAGCAGGGACAGCAGGGAUGGGCAGAGACAGAGAGGAUGCAGCCCAGCCCAGCCCAGCCUGUCUGUGGACCAGGGGCCUCUGGCAGCAUGGGAGGCUGCCUGUGGUGCCGCUCAGAGGACACAGCUUCCGGGAGAGGCCCGGCAGGCGGGGGCCUGGGGCUGAUCUGACCUUUCUCCUCCCACUGCAAGAAGGUGACUGUGCCUGAGCAACAGGAGGCAGAGGGCUGGCUCUGCCCCUGGGGGCACGAGGGGGUUUUUGAAGGGAAACUAAGAGAAGACGACAUUGGAACCAAGAAGGUUAUGUUUCCUCCUCUUCCUUUCCUACAAAGGAGUGCGGAGGGCAACAGAGACCUUCUACACCCCCUCCCUUUCAACCUCCAGCCCUAAAUGUCCUUUUCACUUCACAGCACAUGAUAGGAACAUGAUGUCAUUUGUUCUGUUACUCAUCACACUGGCAAACACAGUUACGGCCAACCCAACAAACUGCUGUCCACAGGGUCAGUGGACUCUGACCCCACCAAAGCCCGUCAUGGCUUUGGUGCACCCUUCGCCUGGCCAGCCAUUUCCACGGCAGCGCAGGCCUCUGGGCUCAGGGGCCGUGGGGGAGCAGGCCUUACUCCGGCACAGUGUGAUGGUGGACUUCGGUCCUGGCCUCGCCCCAGACGGCUGUGGGUCUGUGGCCCACACAUGACUUUCCUGUGCCUCGGUUUCCUUAUCUCUUAGAGGAUACAGGGCCAGCUUUUCAGGGCUGCAGGAGGUGGCAGCAUGUGUACAGUGCUUCACAGGCAGCAUCUCAAAAAGCUUUACUAUGUGCCUACUAUGUGACAGCACUACCCGGGGCUGAAGGUAGAGUGGUGAAAUGGCCCCGUCCACCCCAAAAAGGCUGCCUGGCACGGGGGAGGGGGAGAGAGGUUCUGAGGUCACAUGGCCCAGCAGCAAACUGGUGUUUCGUUUGGGGCAGGUCACUUAACCUCUCUGUUC
This is a long non-coding RNA of Chinchilla lanigera (long-tailed chinchilla), 1738 nucleotides long. RefSeq lists it as uncharacterized. The record is from RefSeq and is a predicted model, not a curated record. Lineage: Eukaryota; Metazoa; Chordata; Mammalia; Rodentia; Chinchillidae. The transcript is spliced from 3 exons.